ACAAACUAGGGUUUAAAACACUAAUAACAGCUAUUACUAAACAGAAAAUGCGUGUUGUAGCCAUCGAAUUCAUGCGAUUUAAUCGAGUAUUGAAGAUUCGAAUUCAUCAAUCGUGGGAGAAACAAACAACCUAGGGUUUGAAAUAGUAAUAACAGCUAGUAAACAGAAAAUACGUGCUGUAGCCAUCGACCGAAUUCACACUAUUGAAUCGAGUACCGAAGAUUCAAAUUCAUCAAUAGUAAAACCGAAAAACCUAGGGUUUGAAACAGAACUAACUAACUGAACACAUAGAUAGUAAUAAAAACAGUUAUUAAACAGAAAAUACGCUUAGCAGACAUCGAAUUCACGCGAUUGAAUCGUAAAUCGAAGAUUCAAAUUCAUCAAUCGUGGAAUAAAACACCAAAAUUAGGGGUUUGAAACAGAACUAAACACGGAGAUACUGAAUUACUGAUAACAACAGUCAGUAAACAGAAACUGAAUGAGAAUGAAUAACGAUAAUGAAAUCGGAAUUGAUAUAGGGUUAGUUAGACCGAUCGAACCGGAAUUGAACGGAGAGUGAACCGGUGGUGACAGACGGUGGACGCCAGCGAGGUGAAUAUGAAGCUAACUGCAGUGAUGAUUUGGCACAUCGUAGUCAGUAGGAAUGAAAACAAAAGGCCAAAUUGGGGUUCAUUAAUGGCGUGUUGAUGCUCGUUAAUGGACAUAUGGUUUUGGUCAACUAUGUUUAG
RNAcentral lists this long non-coding RNA (728 nucleotides) under Helianthus annuus (common sunflower). Its description in RNAcentral is "sRNA HanXRQr2_Chr12g0522111". The record is from RNAcentral. Lineage: Eukaryota; Viridiplantae; Streptophyta; Magnoliopsida; Asterales; Asteraceae.